Nomascus leucogenys (northern white-cheeked gibbon) is the source of this 1019-nucleotide long non-coding RNA. RefSeq lists it as uncharacterized. The record is from RefSeq and is a predicted model, not a curated record. Lineage: Eukaryota; Metazoa; Chordata; Mammalia; Primates; Hylobatidae.
CCCUUACACUCGCGCGGCCCGGGGGACCCGUGACGCCACCUUCAGCGCAGCGGUCCGGUGGUUCGGCCCGGGAAGAGCCUGGAAGAGACCGCGGAUCCCGGCUGCUCCCCGGCCCCGAACCCCCAGCCCAACCACGCAGUCAUAAAUAAUCGCGCCGGCCCGGCAACACCUGGCUACGCGACAGCGCGAUACCGCGGGCACAGCCAAGUCAGUGGAACUGAGGCGCGGCCGAGUGCGGGGCUGCCGGGCGCCCCAUGCUGUCUUGAGGCCCGCGCCGCUGCUACGGGCGGGGUGGGUCUCCGAGCAGGGGUCAGCGCCCGUCUGGGACACUCACAUCCCCUAACGGUCUCCUGACCUCAGGAAACUCAAGGUCUUGACUCAAGGUCGUGAACGAUUUGCAAGUGUAUCUUCACAUAUGCGACAGGAGUGAGCUUAAAAUUCCAUCCCCUGACCACGCAGGCUACCGUCUGUAAUCUCAGCGCUUUGGGAGGCCAAGGAUGAUCUCAAAUCUUAUGUUCGGGAACCUGCAAACCUCGGACCACCACAUCAAGGGAAAUGAAGUGAACCUUUCACUUGAUGACAAGACUUUGUAGAAAACCACUAAAUUAGCUACUCUAACAUCAUCAUGCAGGUGCAUGGGUCUCCUUGAACAAAUUAUUCCAGAGUAAGAUGGCCUGUUCCUCCAUCAUUCCAGUGUUAUACCAGGAAACCAGGUUUGAUUAGGAUUUCAUUGUGUGUAGUAUUUGUUUCAGGGCAUAUGCUUUGAUCAAAAUCUAUGUAAUGAAGACCUAUACUCCAUGAUAUCUAGAAUUAAUCAUUGAACUAUGUCUAUGGCUAAACCCAAAUGUUACACUGAUUUACUUAUUAAACACCUAUUUGCCUGUGAAGAGUUUGUCCCUAAAAGUGAAUUUUAAAUAUAGAGCAACACCAAACAAUAAUAAAACCAGUGUAAAAAACUCGAGGUUAUUAUCCAAAUCAGGUGCUUUUUUAAACUGAGAAGUAACCAAAUGAAAAAGGAA